UACGAAGGGGGCUAGCGUUGUUCGGAAUUACUGGGCGUAAAGCGCACGUAGGCGGGUUGUUAAGUCAGGGGUGAAAUCCUGGAGCUCAACUCCAGAACUGCCUUUGAUACUGGCAACCUAGAGACUGGAAGAGGUUAGUGGAAUUCCCAGUGUAGAGGUGAAAUUCGUAGAUAUUGGGAAGAACACCAGUGGCGAAGGCGGCUAACUGGUCGAGCACUGACGCUGAGGUGCGAAAGCGUGGGGAGCAAACAGG
This 253-nucleotide ribosomal RNA is filed under the name uncultured bacterium. Its description in RNAcentral is "partial 16S ribosomal RNA". It matches the Rfam family "Bacterial small subunit ribosomal RNA", at positions 524 to 776 of the family's 1533-position model. The record is from RNAcentral.